Molecule: ribosomal RNA, 500 nt
Filed under: Agabus matsumotoi
Lineage: Eukaryota; Metazoa; Arthropoda; Insecta; Coleoptera; Dytiscidae
Description: partial 16S ribosomal RNA
Rfam family: Bacterial large subunit ribosomal RNA
Source: RNAcentral
UUUAAUUUAAGGUUUAACCUGCCCACUGAAAUUUUUUGAAGGGCCGCAGUAAUUUGACUGUGCAAAGGUAGCAUAAUCAUUAGUUUUUUAAUUGAAAGCUUGUAUGAAGGGUUGGACGAGGUAAAUUCUGUCUCUAUUUAAUUUAAUGUAAAAUUUAAUUUUUAAGUUAAAAAGCUUAAAUUUUUUUAAAAGACGAGAAGACCCUAUAGAUCUUUAUAUUAAAAAUAUUAAUUUUAAUUAAGAAUAUUUAAUUUUUUAGUGUUUAUAAUAUUUUAUUGGGGUAAUAAAAAGAUUAAAAUAAUUCUUUUUUUAUUUUAACAUUUAUUUAUGAUUAUAUGAUCCAAUUUUAUUGAUUAAAAGAUUAAGUUACCUUAGGGAUAACAGCGUAAUUUUUUUGGAGAGUUCAUAUCGAUAAAAAAGUUUGCGACCUCGAUGUUGGAUUAAAAAUUAUCUUAGGUGCAGAAGUUUAAGAUUUUGGUCUGUUCGACCAUUAAAUUUUU